AGAUUGAACGCUGGCGGCAGGCCUAACACAUGCAAGUCGAGCGGUAGAGAGGUGCUUGCAUCUCUUGAGAGCGGCGGACGGGUGAGUAAUGCCUAGGAAUCUGCCUAGUGGUGGGGGAUAACGUUCGGAAACGGACGCUAAUACCGCAUACGUCCUACGGGAGAAAGCGGGGGACCUUCGGGCCUCGCGCCAUUAGAUGAGCCUAGGUCGGAUUAGCUAGUUGGUGAGGUAAUGGCUCACCAAGGCGACGAUCCGUAACUGGUCUGAGAGGAUGAUCAGUCACACUGAACUGAGACACGGUCCAGACUCCUACGGGAGGCAGCAGUGGGAAUAUUGGACAAUGGGCGAAAGCCUGAUCCAGCCAUGCCGCGUGUGUGAAGAGGUCUCGGAUUGUAAAGCUACUUAAGUUGGAGUAAGGUUGAACCUAAUAGUUGAUACUUGACUUACCGA
Molecule: ribosomal RNA, 450 nt
Filed under: uncultured soil bacterium
Lineage: Bacteria
Description: bacterial SSU rRNA
Rfam family: Bacterial small subunit ribosomal RNA
Source: RNAcentral